Molecule: long non-coding RNA, 1221 nt
Organism: Syzygium oleosum
Lineage: Eukaryota; Viridiplantae; Streptophyta; Magnoliopsida; Myrtales; Myrtaceae
Exons: 2
Source: RefSeq, a predicted model, not a curated record
UGGGGUACACCAAUUGGUAGUCCUGGUAGUAAAGAGAAAACAGGACUGAUAAUCUCCUGCAUCAUUGAUGUCGGGUCAGUAGGUGACCUCUGAAGGUACCUGUGACACCCUUGUAACUGUUGAUUGAGGUCACUGUACUAUAGUUCGGUUAAUUUUCUCUAUCACUGUAUCUUCAGUACUUGCUUUGAUUAGAAAAGAACAAGUUAAAAGAGAGAUUGGAAAUGCAUGAGAUGGAGGAAUGAGUCAUCCAUGAGGAUAUUCGUUACUCAAGCAUAGAAUCCCUGUGGAUAUAAGAGGCAAGAGGAGGUCACAACUCGGUUUUGAACUGGACAAUGUCUGAGGACGACUGGAUAGUGGCUUGAAGGGCUGUUACAGAUAAUGAGGUGGCUCGCCGCUGAAGCACUCGUUAAGAAAUGGCAAGUAAUCUCAGAAGAGUUGAUAGCCUUCUGAUACCAACUAGUUUCCACACUGAGGUAAUAGAUUAUCUGGUUCUAUAAUUGUUCUCAAGCAUCAUGCUCUUUCUAAUGUAACCAUGCAUGCGCAUGUUUAGAGCAAAGAGCAUAGAAUAACUGUUCACAAGGUGAGUUCUCUCUGUAGAGGUGCAGGGUUUGGCCGUUCCUUGGAUGAAAUGGUUUUGGUUUUUCUCAAAUUGACUAAUGGCUACAGAAUAGGUUGCUUUAUUUGGCUAGACUUUGACUAAUUUGGCUUUGGGCUAAAAGGAUUCAAAGACGUUUGAUGGAGUGUUGCUAUAGUUUCUGCUUUUAUGCAUCUUGGAUGUCAUUUAUUGGAUCUGCACAAAACUCACUAGCAAAGGAUGAUACUAAAUGUUCAUGAUUGUGGUCGUUAUAGCGGCCUUUGUAUUUCACUAACUCUUCUAUUUUUUAUUUUUUCAUUCAUGUGAAUUUCCGUAUAAAGUUCUCCUAAUAAUAUGUUUGGUCAUCAGUUGUUCCAGGAGCUGCUUAUCAACUUAUGUGGUCAAUCUUAUCAAUGGACUGGUCUAUCACUACCUUGUAUUCAGCAGUUUGGAUGAAGUUAGAUGGUGACAAACAACCAAUACAGAAAGCAAAGAAUGCAAUAGUUUAACUGAGUUUUCCACUCUAGGAUCUCCUAAGUUUUCUUCUAGUGAUCAGAAAUUUGUAGGAAAACCUGUAAUCAACUGUACUGUUUGUAAAACUAUCAAUAUUGAAUUUGCCAAGCCAACUACAGGUUAAUUUUUAUCCA